ACUAAAAUUGGAAUAAUAAGUGAAGAUAAAUAUGCCUCCUGUGCAAGGAUGAUACGCAGAUUCGUGAAAUGCCCCAUAUUUUU
Molecule: small nuclear RNA, 83 nt
Filed under: Dasypus novemcinctus (nine-banded armadillo)
Lineage: Eukaryota; Metazoa; Chordata; Mammalia; Cingulata; Dasypodidae
Source: RNAcentral